Molecule: non-coding RNA, 29 nt
Filed under: Rattus norvegicus (Norway rat)
Lineage: Eukaryota; Metazoa; Chordata; Mammalia; Rodentia; Muridae
Source: RNAcentral
UUCAAAGACCUGUUUCUUUGAUGAGGGGU